Triticum dicoccoides is the source of this 2592-nucleotide long non-coding RNA. RefSeq lists it as uncharacterized. The transcript has 3 exons. The record is from RefSeq and is a predicted model, not a curated record. NCBI's taxonomy places the organism in Eukaryota, Viridiplantae, Streptophyta, Magnoliopsida, Poales, Poaceae.
UUCCCGGCGCCCGCAUCCUCGUCGUCGACCUUGCCCAAACGGCAGGUCGCUGCUGCUGGCCGAGGUCGCCCAGGUCAUCACCGCCCCCGCCGGCCUGCAGCUCAUCCUACCCAAGGGCAGGGUAUGUACAGUCGCUUGCUCCCUCUUCCUCCCCCUGUCGAUCUCCAGAGGUGUUGAUUUGUUGGGUUGUUCGAUUCAGUGCUUCGAGCGAGGAUGACUGUGAGUGGUUGGGCAUGGGAUAGCCUAGCGCCCGUAGAUACAUGAUAGAUUUGUGCUUCACUAAUUGUUACACAUGCAGCUAUCCAAUUACCCCAAGCGGAAUUAAAUUACUUGUAGAAUGAUAGCCGUAAUGUUAUAGUGCUGGUCCCAGUAUCCGGCUAUCCUUUGAUAAAAACAAUUUGUUGCAAAAUUGCAAAAAUAAGCAUGUGCCUUGUUUUCUCAGAUGAAUGCAAGGCGGCUUGCAUAGUUCUCAGACUGGCAUAUGUGGAAUGUGCUAUGUGCCCAACAUCUCUAUCUACUCCACCGUGAUCUAACUCACAUGUCAAAGAAUCACAUAAUACAUUUUGCAUGAAGGAGGUGCAAGAACCUACUUAUCUUGCAAUAGAAAGUACUGCAAGACAUGUUUAUCCAGAGAAUAUUGUGUUGGAUGCUUGCUUCAAAUUGGCUAAUCUAACUCUUCUGAUAGAUAACAUACAGGCCAAUCAGUAGUGUUAUGUAUUUCGACCAAUGUCAGCUAAUUUCCAGCUGUAAACAAGCAGGUAUAAUUUAAUAUUCAUUUUCAUGGACUUGAAUCUGAAUAUAUUUUGGUUUAGUACAGUAUCUAAACUAUUACUUUUGGGGUCUGCUAUGAGGCAUUGGGUUUAAAUACUUUCUUAAGAGUUGUGUGAAAUAGCAUUUAUUCCAAGAAAUUGCAAUGUAUAUAGUGCUACUUUAUUUUAUAUUUUUAUUUUAAAAAUUGUUCCUCGACACUUCAAACUCAGAAUUUUUACAAUUAACUCUUAAAUCGGAAAUUAGCUGCCAUGGCCUGAAUUAUCAUGGAUCGAGUGUGUUUUGUGUAAGAUUUUUCUAUUGACAAUCCUUUUAUAUGUACACCUUCUAGGAAGUAUGUGCAUUCCUUCUUGCAGACAGAUAUGUUUUCUCGGGUUGUUGAAUGCUGGAAACGAGGAUUAUCAGUCACAAAAUACAUAACAGACCUUCGGAUCCAUGGAUGUAGCCAGCAAGGGCGCCAUCAACCUGGGCUGCCUUAGAGCUUAGGCAACCAUGCUGUAUUUGAUGUGAACAGUUCAUAUCAAUAGCUCGAUUAACUUGUGUGUGUCUCAUGUGUGGUUGAAUACUAAUUCUAACCCUGUUGCACUCUGUGCUGCCAUUUGAUCUAAAAAACUGAACCAUGAAAGGUUCACUGUUAAAUCAGUAUGCGACAUGGUGACGGUUGCAAAAUACUGGAAUGUCACAAUCAUCGUGUCGUACAUGGAUAAAACUUCAUUUUGGGUUGCCCAGUGAGUUCCAAGAUAUAUUUGAUGUAGACUACUUCAUAGCAUCAUUGAGAGAUGAGGUCCGGAUACUGCAAGAGCUGCCUCCAAGGCUGAAAAGGAGAGUUGAAUAGGGAUAUCCUUGCUCCUUGCCGCCCUUCAGUUGGUCUGAUACAUCCUAUUACCAUAAUCAGGUUUCUUUGCGUCUCUCCAUUUCUCGUGAUGUAUCUAAAUCAUAUGCGUACCCAAAUAAAUAUUGUAAGUAGUAAUUUAUGGGAAAACAUAUUUUACCAAUGAUAAAGAAGUACAUGGUCCUUCAUAUGAAUAAAUCACGUGCACGGCUUGAAAAUAAUGGGCUACUCAUGGAGAUUCAGAAACCGAGGUGCCAUUUCAGUUUUCAUGCACUUGGAUUUACCCCCUAAAACAGAAGAGUUGGGCAGGUGUGUGGUUCAAAUUCUUCGUCGGAAUGGACCCUUUUGUGGUUCUCCACUUGUGGUAUAAGAUGGACAUACUUGCCUUCUCUGGGUGUACACAUGGUAGCAGGAAAGAUGAGGCUGAGGAGGGUUAGAAGGAUGAGAUAUUGCAGUUCUAGCAAGUGGAUCUGCACAAACAAGUAUGUGUUUGACUGUGCAGGUGAUAAGGGAGCUGAAGCUGCUGGACGGCGUCGGUCUUGCAGAGGUCAUCACAAUCCUUGUUCCAAAUAGGUCCGUCGGACUUCGCAUCCCUUGCCUUGCUGCACUCUCCUGGAAGAUUUUCAAUUGCAGGCCUGUCUCUUAUGGAUGGAUGGUCACAUGGGGAGUAAUCAGUUGACUAACUAUGAAGAUUGCUAGGAUUGACAAAAACGCAAAAAUGAUCCAGUCGGUGGAACUAUUAUAAAACUCCUGAAGGAGGUAACCCUUUACAAAAGGGUGCAAGUGUUACUGUCUCCUGCUAUAUUUGACAGUAAAAAAACCAGUCAACAAGUAGUCAAGUAUUCUUGAUUGAAAGUCUGCAAGUAAUCAAGUGGUCUUACGGAAGGCCAUUCUAGAAGAUCUUUGCUUGUUGUAGCUAUACAAUUUACCUCAAUUUUUUGCCAGUUGCUAGCACCGUAUUUUAAUCUUUGUGGCUUUGGCGAGGAUUUUUC